RNAcentral lists this long non-coding RNA (1471 nucleotides) under Arabidopsis lyrata. Its description in RNAcentral is "long non-coding RNA (ALYR_LNC000646)". Lineage: Eukaryota; Viridiplantae; Streptophyta; Magnoliopsida; Brassicales; Brassicaceae. The record is from RNAcentral.
AUGGCGGACGCAGAAACCUUUGCUUUCCAAGCUGAGAUCAACCAGUUGCUCUCCCUCAUCAUCAAUACCUUUUACUCUAACAAGGAGAUCUUCCUUCGUGAACUCAUCAGUAACUCUUCUGAUGUACGAUCUCUAUCUCCCUCUCUCUCUAUGUCUUAUUAUAUAGUUGUUUGAUUGAUUUGGCUCAUCGAUCUGUAGAUUUAGGUUUGAUUAGGGUUUAGCGUUCUUUCCGAUUUGAGAAUUUUGGUUGUUAAUCGAACCGGUAUCGAUCUGAAACUUUUUGUGUGCAAAUCUGUUGAUUAGGUUAAGUGUUGAUACCAAGGAUUAAGCAGUCUCUUAUUAGAUUACCAAGUUUUGGAUUGCUUAUAGUUUAUUUGUAUAUAUGUUCUGUGUAUUGGUUAUUUACGAUUUUGAAUUUUAUUCUGGUGAAAUAGGCUUUGGACAAGAUUAGGUUCGAGUCCUUAACAGACAAGAGCAAGCUCGAUGGUCAGCCUGAGCUCUUCAUUCACAUCAUUCCCGACAAGACUAACAACACCUUGACCAUUAUCGAUAGUGGGAUUGGGAUGACUAAGGCUGGUACGUAAUUGAUUUCAGUUAAAGCAAUUUGUAUUGGUUUUGUUGAUUAUUUUUGCAUCUAUGUGUUUGGUGUGUGUUGGCUAAUAAUACGUUUUUGUUGUAUUGUUCAGAUUUGGUCAACAACCUUGGAACUAUUGCGAGAUCUGGUACCAAGGAAUUCAUGGAGGCAUUGGCUGCUGGAGCUGAUGUUAGCAUGAUUGGUCACUUUGGUGUUGGUUCUACUCUGCUUACUUGGUUGCUGACAAGGUUGUUGUUACUACCAAGCACAAUGACGAUGAGCAGUAUGUGUGGGAGUCUCAGGCCGGUGGGUCUUUCACUGUGACCAGAGACACCUCUGGGGAGGCUCUUGGUAGAGGAACCAAAAUGGUCCUUUACCUCAAGGAAGACCAGUUGGAGUACCUUGAGGAGCGAAGGCUUAAGGAUUUGGUUAAGAAGCACUCUGAGUUCAUCAGCUACCCAAUCUCUCUCUGGAUUGAGAAGACCAUUGAGAAGGAGAUCUCUGAUGAUGAAGAGGAGGAAGAAAAGAAGGAUGAGGAAGGCAAGGUUGAGGAAGUAGAUGAGGAGAAAGAAAAGGAGGAGAAGAAAAAGAAGAAGAUUAAGGAGGUUUCUCAUGAGUGGGAUUUGGUGAACAAGCAGAAACCGAUUUGGAUGAGGAAGCCAGAGGAAAUCAACAAAGAAGAGUACGCUGCUUUCUACAAGAGUCUCAGCAAUGAUUGGGAGGAGCAUUUGGCUGUGAAGCAUUUCUCUGUUGAGGGGCAGCUUGAAUUCAAAGCUAUCCUCUUUGUUCCCAAGAGAGCUCCUUUUGAUCUCUUUGACACUAAGAAGAAGCCCAACAACAUCAAGCUAUAUGUCCGUCGUGUCUUCAUCAUGGACAACUGUGAAGACAUCAUUCCUG